This is a long non-coding RNA of Cygnus olor (mute swan), 438 nucleotides long. RefSeq lists it as uncharacterized. The record is from RefSeq and is a predicted model, not a curated record. NCBI's taxonomy places the organism in Eukaryota, Metazoa, Chordata, Aves, Anseriformes, Anatidae. The transcript is spliced from 3 exons.
AGAUUAAAGUUCUUACAUCUAAUCCCCACUGAGCAAGUUGUACUUCUUUAUUUCCUAGGAAAUACGCUGACUGCACUGAAGUUUCUGAAAAUAUGGAGAGAGUCUUUGCUGAACUGGGACUCUGCUGAAGGCAGAGACAUCGUGCCAAAGUGGUGGUGUGACGAGGCAGGAAGGGAAAGGCUGUCUGAUCUCCUUGUCCUUGGUACUGGUGCAUGGAGUGGAGAUCUCUGAGAGUAUGUUGGCUUGGAGAUGGUGCUGAGAGCAAGAGGACAGGAGAAGGAGAUGAAGAGCCAUCAGCAUGGCUAGGGGAUGCAUGGGGAAGUUCCUGGCCUGCAGCAGGGAACAACUCACAGCCCAGACGCGGAGCUGACAGGCAGAGAAGGACCCACAAAGUACUUAUUUCAACCCAGAACAUCAGGGAAUAUUCAUUAAAUAGGG